This is a long non-coding RNA of Rhipicephalus sanguineus (brown dog tick), 315 nucleotides long. RefSeq lists it as uncharacterized. NCBI's taxonomy places the organism in Eukaryota, Metazoa, Arthropoda, Arachnida, Ixodida, Ixodidae. The transcript has 3 exons. The record is from RefSeq and is a predicted model, not a curated record.
CAAUACAAGGAUGCGAUUCUAAAUACAGCGGGAAUUCAAGCGGCCUUUCUUCUUGCUAUUUAUACACUUGUACAUCACACUGCUAUGGCACCGAGCUAGGUUGGUACUUCAAUUGGUUCCUGGGCGCCUGCCACAAGAGUGACGAAACACACUGUGGUGUUGGUGAAAAUCAAUUUUCAAGUUGCGAGGAGUGCAACCAACAGUGCCAUGUUAGCGUAUGCGUUGAUGACCUGCCAACCAAGCCUCCAGCAGAAGUACCGAAAGUUCCCAUUAUGGGACGCUGACAUCUUUCUGCGGUAAUAAAACAUCAAUUUU